Molecule: ribosomal RNA, 422 nt
Filed under: uncultured bacterium
Lineage: Bacteria
Description: bacterial SSU rRNA
Rfam family: Bacterial small subunit ribosomal RNA
Source: RNAcentral
GAAUAUUGGACAAUGGGCGCAAGCCUGAUCCAGCCAUGCCGCGUGUGUGAAGAAGGCCUUCGGGUUGUAAAGCACUUUCGGACGGAACGAAAUCGCGCGGUUGAACAUUCCGCGUGGAUGACGGUACAGUAAGCAGAAGCACCGGCUAACUACGUGCCAGCAGCCGCGGUAAUACGCGGGGGGCAAAUGUUGUUCGGAAUCACUGGGCGUAAAGGGAGCGUAGGCGGUUUUUUAAGUUAGGUGUUUAAUCCCGGGGCCCAACCCCGGACAGGCACCUAAAACUGGAAAACUUGAAUAGUGGAGAGGUCGGCGGAAUUGGGGGUGUAGCGGUGGAAUGCGUAGAGAUCCCCAAGAACACCAGUUGCGAAGGCGGCCGACUGGACACAUAUUGACGCUGAGGCUCGAAAGCAUGGGGAGCAAAC